CUGGAGUGAGACACCAUGAGGGACCGUGAAAUUCUAAAAACAAUCAGGAAAACAUGGAUUUUAGAAUGCCAAGCUGACAUUUUGAGUUUUUAUGAGAAACCAGAAAAUUUGGUGUGAAGACCCUAAGUGGUGUGUCUGACUUACAGCAGGCCCACAGCAAAUACAUUGGAGACUUCUCAACUUUCUGCUUCUGAUGAUCUCAACUUGUGGUAUGGCAAAAGGAGAGCAAAAUGUUCACCCAGAUGACAUCGUGAUCAACUCCUCUGAAUCACUCUAAAGGAACGAGAAGUCCUGGCAGCUGAGUCAUGAUCCCCCAGGAGCCAUUAAGAAGUUAAUCUUCAGUCACUUCCAUCCAAACAGAAGAAAACCCAUGAAGGAUGAGAACUAUGGGUCCUGAGAAUGACAGAAGCAGAUCAAGAAACUGGCGAUUGAAGAGUAACUGAAAGAAACGCAAUCUGAUCUUACUAGCAGUGAAAGAGCGAGUCUCCCUCUGAUGCCGAGCAGAAGCUAGACUGUACUGCUGCCAUCUCAGCUCACUGCAACCUCCCUGCCUGAUUCUCCUGCCUCAGCCUGCUGAGUGCCUGCAAUUGCAGGCGCGCCGCCACGCCUGACUGGUUUUCGUAUUUUUUUGGUGGAGACGGGGAUUCGCUGUGUUGGCCGGGCUGGUCUCCAGCUCCUAACCGCGAGUGAUCCACCAGCCUCGGCCUCCUGAGGUGCCGGGAUUGCAGACGGAGUCUGGUUCACUCAGUGCUCAAUGGCGCCCAGACUGGAGUGCAGUGGCGUGAUCUCAGCUCGCUACAACCUCCACCUCCCAGCCGCCUCCCUUGGCCUCCCAAAGUGCAGAGAUUGCAGCCUCUGCCCGGCCGCCACCCCGCCUGGGAAGUGAGGAGCGUCUCUGCCUGGCCGCCCAUUGUCUGGGAUGUGAGGAGCCCCUCUGCCUGGCUGCCCAGUCUGGAAAGUGAGGAGUGUCUCUGCCUGGCCGCCAUCCCAUCUAGGAAGUGAGGAGCGCCUCUUCCCGGCCGCCAUCCCAUCUAGGAAGUGAGGAGCCUCUCUGCCCAGCCGCCCAUCGUCUGAGAUGUGGGGAGCGCCUCUGCCCCGCCGCCCCGUCUGGGAUGUGAGGAGCGCCUCUACCCCGCCGCGACCCCGUCUGGGAGGUGAGGAGCGUCUCUGCCCGGCGGCCCCGUCUGGGAAGUGAGGAGACCCUCCGCCCGGCAGCCGCCCCAUCUGAGAAGUGAGGAGCCCCUCUGCCCAGCAGCCACCCUGUCUGGGAAGUGAGGAGCGUCUCUGCCCAGCAGCCACCCCGUCUGGGAGGGAGGUGGGGGGUCAGCCCCCCGCCCGGCCAGCCGCCCCGUCCGGGAGGUGAGGGGCGCCUCUGCCCGGCGGCCCCUACUGGGAAGUGAGGAGCCCCUCUGCCCGGCCAGCCGCCCCGUCUGGGAAGUGAGGAGCGUCUCCGCCCAGCAGCCACCCCGUCCGGGAGGGAGGUGGGGGGAUCAGCCCCCCGCCCGGCCAGCCGCCCAGUCCGGGAGGGAGGUGGGGGGGUCAGCCCCCCGCCCGGCCAGCCGCCCCGUCCGGGAGGUGAGGGGUGCCUCUGCCCGGCCGCCCCUACUGGGAAGUGAGGAGCCCCUCUGCCCGGCCAGCCGCCCGGUCCGGGAGGGAGGUGGGGGGGUCAGCCCCCUGCCUGGCAAGCCGCCCCGUCUGGGAGGGAGGUGGGGGGAUCAGCCCCCCGCCGGGCCAGCCACCCCGUCCGGGAGGUGAGGGGUGCCUCUGCCCGGCCGCCCCUACUGGGAAGUGAGGAGCCCCUCUGCCCGGCCAGCCGCCCCAUCCGGGAGUGAGGUGGGGGGGUCAGCCCCCUGCCCGGCCAGCCGCCCCGUCCGGGAGGUGAGGGGCGCCUCUGCCCGGCCGCCCCUACUGGGAAGUGAGGAGCCCCUCUGCCCGGCCACCACCCCGUCUGGGAGGUGUACCCAACAGCUCAUUGAGAACGGGCCAUGAUGACAAUGGCGGUUUUGUGGAAUAGAAAGCGGGGAAAGGUGGGGAAAAGAUUGAGAAAUCGGAUGGUUGCCGUGUCUGUGUAGAAAGAGGUAGACAUGGGAGACUUUUCAUUUUGUUCUGUACUAAGAAAAAUUCUUAUCCUGUUGAUCUGUGACCUUACCCCCAACCCCGUGCUCUCUGAAACAUGUGCUGUGUCCACUCAGGGCUAAAUGGAUUAAGGGCGGUGCAAGAUGUGCUUUGUUAAACAGAUGCUUGAAGGCAGCAUGCUCGUUGAGAGUCAUCACCACUCCCUAAUCUCAAGUAACCAGGGACACAAACACUGUGGAAGGCCGCAGGGUCCUCUGCCUAGGAAAACCAGAGACCUUUGUUCACUUGUUUAUCUGCUGACCUUCCCUCCACUAUUGUCCUAUGACCCUGCCAAAUCCCCCUCUGCGAGAAACACCCAAGAAUGAUCAAUAAAAAAAUAAAAUAAAAUAAAAUAAAAUAAAAUAAAUAAAGUUUCAUGCGCAUCCGUGUGAAGAGACCACCAAACAGGCUUUGUGUGAGCAGCAUGGCUGUUUAUUUCACCUGGGUGCAGGCGGGCUGAGUCCGAAAAGAGAGUCAGCCAAGGG
This 2600-nucleotide long non-coding RNA is filed under the name Homo sapiens (human). Its description in RNAcentral is "HSALNT0044678". The record is from RNAcentral. Lineage: Eukaryota; Metazoa; Chordata; Mammalia; Primates; Hominidae.